RNAcentral lists this ribosomal RNA (298 nucleotides) under uncultured soil bacterium. RNAcentral's name for it is "partial 16S ribosomal RNA". It matches the Rfam family "Bacterial small subunit ribosomal RNA", at positions 32 to 309 of the family's 1533-position model. The record is from RNAcentral.
AAUCAACGCUGGCGGCGUGCCUAACACAUGCAAGUCGAACGCGAAAGCCCUUUCGGGGGUAAGUAGAGUGGCGUCCGGGUGAGUAACACGUGGGUAAUUUGCCUUCGGGUGGGGAAUAACCUAGGGAAACUUGGGCUAAUACCGCAUAAUGCAGCGGCACCUAAUGGUGAUUAGUUGUUAAAGCGGCGGAUCGCAAGACCUCGCGCCUGAAGAGGGGCCUGCGGCACAUUCGCUAAUUGGUGAGGUAACGGGUCACCAAUGGCUGCGAUCUGUAGUUGGUCUGAUAGGACGGGCAGCC